RNAcentral lists this ribosomal RNA (425 nucleotides) under uncultured bacterium. RNAcentral's name for it is "partial 16S ribosomal RNA". It matches the Rfam family "Bacterial small subunit ribosomal RNA", at positions 354 to 796 of the family's 1533-position model. The record is from RNAcentral.
GUGGGGAAUCUUGCGCAAUGGGCGAAAGCCUGACGCAGCCAUGCCGCGUGAAUGAUGAAGGUCUUAGGAUUGUAAAAUUCUUUCACCGGGGACGAUAAUGACGGUACCCGGAGAAGAAGCCCCGGCUAACUUCGUGCCAGCAGCCGCGGUAAUACGAAGGGGGCUAGCGUUGCUCGGAAUUACUGGGCGUAAAGGGCGCGUAGGCGGACAGUUUAGUCAGAGAUGAAAGCCCAGGGCUCAACCUUGGAAUUGCCUUUGAUACUGGCUGUCUUGAGUACGGGAGAGGUGAGUGGAACUCCGAGUGUAGAGGUGAAAUUCGUAGAUAUUCGGAAGAACACCAGUGGCGAAGGCGACUCACUGGCCCGUUACUGACGCUGAGGCGCGAAAGCGUGGGGAGCAAACAGGAUUAGAAACCCGGGUAGUCC